This is a long non-coding RNA of Amphimedon queenslandica, 259 nucleotides long. RefSeq lists it as uncharacterized. NCBI's taxonomy places the organism in Eukaryota, Metazoa, Porifera, Demospongiae, Haplosclerida, Niphatidae. The transcript has 3 exons. The record is from RefSeq and is a predicted model, not a curated record.
GCUAAUAAAGGUGUGGCUUGUAUGUAGGUGUGGUUCGUUUGCAUGGAGAAUGAUUUCUUGCAGCUUCAUUGUUGUUUUCUUUGCUUUGCAAGCUUCCUUUACAAAAUCAGACCAGAUUGAGAGGUCACUAGAUGGAAAGAACUGGCAGUUAUCAGAUUCUGCUGGAAAAGUCUUCCAGCCACAGUCUCUGGAAUAGCCUACUAGCACAGAAAGUCAUUUAUGAUCUUUAUUUUGGUGAGAAACUGAGAAUGAUUCAAAU